RNAcentral lists this long non-coding RNA (395 nucleotides) under Mytilus galloprovincialis (Mediterranean mussel). Lineage: Eukaryota; Metazoa; Mollusca; Bivalvia; Mytilida; Mytilidae. The record is from RNAcentral.
UUGUUAUUUACUCUUGUUAGUAGUUCUAUGAUUGGUCGUUGUGUUAUUUUUGUUAUCUACUUUUGUUAGUAGUUCUAUGAUUGGUCGUUGUGUUGAGUUUGCUGCAUCAUUGAAGUGUUAUUACUGCUUACAAUUUCUUUUGCGUGUUGUUCUAUCCUUUUUGGUGCAACAUUUCCUAAUAAAGUGUUGUCAGUUUUGUAUUCACUGAAAUCAUGCAUUGUAUAUUCGGUUUUUAGGGUACGGUGCAUCUUUGAACGUUACUCGUCUGAUAUACAAAUCGACUCCUUCUGUUUUAGAAGGUUAGUUAUCAUUCAUCUUUUAUUUUUCGACGUAUCUUUGCUUAUUGUAUUGUUAGCAAAUUUGUCUUUGUUCGUUUGAUAUUUUGGCAGAUUCUG